Molecule: long non-coding RNA, 490 nt
Organism: Solanum tuberosum (potato)
Lineage: Eukaryota; Viridiplantae; Streptophyta; Magnoliopsida; Solanales; Solanaceae
Exons: 2
Source: RefSeq, a predicted model, not a curated record
UAUCAAAUUUUGGCCAUCAGGCCAUUUUUAUUAAAGAAAUGCCCAUUGGGCUAUGUUCAAAAGAUGGACCAAAAUUGACCCAACAAGAAUAAAAUAAAAACAAAGCAAAUAAAUUCUAUAUCUAAAAGCACUAAAGUGAAAAUUGAAAUGACUCUUGGAACUCUCCAGAACUCCAUGGUCAGCCAUUUCCUCACCGAUUUUUGUCCUGGGUCCUGAUUUCCUUGUGUUGCUGGAUUGCUAUUAUUUGGUGAUUUUUGGGGGGUGAGCACAACUUGUGGGCUGCCUGAAUCUGCAAGCACCUUUUCAAUUAUAUGCAAAUCGUCUUUUGUAUCCUCACUAACUAUUGUUUCUUCUGUAUUCUGUUGCUUUUCUUGUAUUAUGUCUUCUUCUUGUAUCUUUUGUUUCCCCAUAUUGUCGGUAUUCUGGGUUACUUCAUCUUCUAUAUUUUUGCUACUCUGAUUAUUGUUAUCUUCACUUUGACUGUUGGCUA